AAAAAGACAAACCCUGAAUUUCCGUGUACAAUUUUAACUAUCCGUCUUAUAUGAAUUUUUUUAUAAUUCGUAUUUUCAUUGUUGUUAGAUGAUAAAACAUGAUUAAUGUUUUAUGCGUGACUUCUCUUUUUAAUUUUUUCAUAAUUUUUUCAAAUAAGACGGACGGUCAAACGUUGGACACGGAAACCAGGGGUUUGUCUUUUU
MicroRNA precursor from Oryza sativa Indica Group (long-grained rice), 204 nucleotides. It matches the Rfam family "MIR812 microRNA precursor family". The record is from Rfam. Lineage: Eukaryota; Viridiplantae; Streptophyta; Magnoliopsida; Poales; Poaceae.